GAGGAACCCACUGGCCUCGCUCCGGCGCGGGGAUCCGGGAGACAGUGGACCCUGGAGAGAGGACCCAGGGCUGGUCUAGGGAUGCAGCCUCACCCCAAGACACCAUGGCAGCCCACAGAGAGCCAUCCAUGCAUCACCAGUUCUCCAACAGGCGGCUCAUGCCCUUAGAGUACACAUCCCCAGCAUCUGUGCAUCACAACACUCGGUCCGGUGGUGGCUCUGCUCCUACACACACCAGGACCUGGGCCUUGAGAGGACCCUCCUUCCUGAUAUCCUCUACAGAGAUGUGGCCUUCCUCAACCCGGUCGACCCCAUCUCCCAUGACCUGCUUGUGAACCUGGCCCGGGACCUGCAGUGCCCCAAGAAGGACCCUCAGAGUCCUGGGCAGACCCAUUUUCUGUGUGGCAGCACUGUGCACCAGGCCUGGGGGCCCAGACCAGGAAGACUAUAGCUGGGCAGAAGUCAUAUGGGGACCCUGCGGGUCACAGACUGUUCUGAGAAAUCCACCAACGGAAACAAACUCCUAGCCUCUGAAUUCCUGGGCCAGAAGAGAGCCGCUCUCGGCUAGAGCCCCC
This 575-nucleotide long non-coding RNA is filed under the name Homo sapiens (human). RNAcentral's name for it is "non-protein coding lnc-LRRC75B-1:1". Lineage: Eukaryota; Metazoa; Chordata; Mammalia; Primates; Hominidae. The record is from RNAcentral.